AACCAGGGUUUUAACUAGGGUUUUGAAUCAAGCACAGCUGCUCUUUCUUUUGUGGUCUUCUGCUUUCAUCGAAGCUAUGUCCAUUUUUCUGAGAAAGCUCUCAGUUUCCAAUAGAAACUCUCUCCUUCGCAUCAUAGCAAUCGCUUAUGCCGGGUCGGGUCUUUUGUAUGCCAAUAGCAACUCAAAUUCCAGAGCAAAUGUAGCAGUGAAGGUUCCUGUGGCUCUGCAGGAAUCACUAUCGCUACCAUGGCGAAUUACGCAAUACAUAUUUCCCUACCCUUCAUUACUUUUAUCAGAUCCAUGGCAACCUGGUUUGUUCUUAAAUUUUAUUUGGCAAUAGAUUGUGUCCUAUUUAUGUAUAUAUAUGUUUUUGGGUUCAAUUCAAGCUUGAAAUUGUAGGAAUGCUUCCAUUAUUUUCUUCUAGAGUUGGUUCGGCUCCAUCAUCGGAUAUAAAGAAAGACAAUUCUUUGGGGGCAGUUGGAGGUGACCCCAAACCAUGUUGCAAUUGUUUGGGGAGAGAUACAAUUGCAAAUGCUGCCGCUAGGGUUGGUCCUGCUGUAGUAAAUCUUUCGGUUCCACAGGGGUUCUAUGGCAUUACUAAUGGAAAGAGUAUAGGGUCAGGAACUAUAAUUGAUCAGGAUGGUACAAUUUUAACAUGUGCUCAUGUUGUGGUUGAUUUUCAAGGCAUGAG
Molecule: long non-coding RNA, 691 nt
Organism: Quercus lobata
Lineage: Eukaryota; Viridiplantae; Streptophyta; Magnoliopsida; Fagales; Fagaceae
Exons: 4
Source: RefSeq, a predicted model, not a curated record